GCUGGAAUGAAUGGUUGGACGAGGCAUAGACUGUUUCAAUUUAAUUUUUUAUAGAAUUUUAUUUUUUAGUUAAAAAGCUAAAAUUAUUUUAAAAGACGAGAAGACCCUAUAAAUCUUUAUAAUUAAAUUAUUUUUGUUUUAUGGAUGUUUUUUAUAUUAAUAAUUUUGGUUAUUUUAUUGGGGUGAUAUUAAAAUUUAUUAAACUUUUAAUAAUUUUUUACAUUGAUUAAUGAGUAUUUGAUCCGUUAAUGACGAUUAUAAGAUUAAGUUACUUUAGGGAUAACAGCGUAAUUUUUUUGGAGAGUUCAUAUCGAUAAAAAAGAUUGCGACCUCGAUGUUGGAUUAAGAUAUAAUUUUGGGUGCAGUCAUUCAAAUUUCAAGUCUGUUCGACUUUUAAAUUCUUACAUGAUCUGAGUUCAGACCGGCGUGAGCCAGGUUGGUUUCUAUCUUUAAAUUUUUAAAAUAUUUUAGUACGAAAGGAUUGAAUAUUUGAAUUAUUAAUUUUAUUUGUUGAAUAUUAUUAAUUACUAUUUU
This 534-nucleotide ribosomal RNA is filed under the name Poecilotylus testaceus. RNAcentral's name for it is "partial 16S ribosomal RNA". The stretch from base 91 to 451 matches the Rfam family "Bacterial large subunit ribosomal RNA", at positions 2075 to 2645 of the family's 2925-position model. The record is from RNAcentral. Lineage: Eukaryota; Metazoa; Arthropoda; Insecta; Diptera; Micropezidae.